GUCAGUGUGGCAUAAUUGCUUGAGCAUUGGACUAUGACUCUGGAGACCAGGUUUGAAUCCUGGCUUGGCCA
Molecule: non-coding RNA, 71 nt
Organism: Phrynosoma platyrhinos (Desert horned lizard)
Lineage: Eukaryota; Metazoa; Chordata; Lepidosauria; Squamata; Phrynosomatidae
Source: the annotation of a GenBank genome assembly